Panicum virgatum (switchgrass) is the source of this 837-nucleotide long non-coding RNA. RefSeq lists it as uncharacterized. Lineage: Eukaryota; Viridiplantae; Streptophyta; Magnoliopsida; Poales; Poaceae. The record is from RefSeq and is a predicted model, not a curated record. The transcript is spliced from 2 exons.
CUCAUCCCCAAGCGUCGCUGGGUAAAUUCGCAGGAGACUUCCAGGCACCCACGCGUCGAUCAGCAGCGGCGCCAACAGCAUGCAAGCAAGUGCAACGUGGAGGACCCAGAGGCGACGGGAAUUGGAAUAAGAACUCUCCAAGCUCAUCCAAUUGCUCUUCCUUCCGCCAUCUUUUUCUUCCCCGAACCAAGCUCUCUGUUUCUCGCCGAUUUCGUCGCCUUCGCGCAUUCUUGGUUCGAUUCCUCGCACACACAUCACCAGCAGCCCUAUCUUGACCGAUUCGAAGAGUUUCUAGCCCUGCCAUCGACCACAGCCGCUAGCUCGCCAUCAUCUUCUUCCUCUGGCCACCAACGAGCAGAGAAGCUAGGUAGCCGGUACACUAGAUGCGCGACGUGUGGAACUAAAGGACAAAGUUGAAGCCGAGCUAGAAGAUGGUGUACUGGUGGGCCGAUCCAGAAGAUGGAGGUACCGACUUGAGUCAUGCUUGGGCCAGAGAUGCUAUCAAGCUGGAGCAACUGAAGGCCCGGCCCAAGGUCGGAAGGGCCCAAGGCCUUGUUUCUACUAACACUGACUUAGUGUUAAUCCCAGGCAAGCCCCGGAGCAUAACCCCUAAUUUGAGUAUUCAAUGUUUAUUUAAGUAUUUGUGCAUUUACGUUUUUAGGAGUUGUAUGGAACCCUAGUAUGCAUGUUUCUCCCUAGGUACCUAUGAGUCUAUAUUAGUAUACAAGUGUCGUUAGUAUUGCCAUGCUUAACUAGGAUCCGGUAGAAGUCGAGUGAUUGCUGUCACUCACGAGCUAUAGGUUUUUGUUAUUUAUGGAAAAGUGGCUUGAGAAUGAA